Molecule: non-coding RNA, 116 nt
Organism: Rattus norvegicus (Norway rat)
Lineage: Eukaryota; Metazoa; Chordata; Mammalia; Rodentia; Muridae
Source: Rfam
UACUCCACUCCCUCCCCCUACCCUUUCUCCUCUGCGCUGGUGGCAGCGCUGAGCCGGGAGCCUGAGCUUUGAGAACUCCCCUGUGACGGCCGUCUUCGGUCAGAGCAUGCUCACUG